GACGAACGCUGGCGGCGUGCUUAACACAUGCAAGUCGAACGGAAAGGCCCUGCUUUUGUGGGGUGCUCGAGUGGCGAACGGGUGAGUAACACGUGAGUAACCUGCCCUUGACUUUGGGAUAACUUCAGGAAACUGGGGCUAAUACCGGAUAGGAGCUCCUGCUGCAUGGUGGGGGUUGGAAAGUUUCGGCGGUUGGGGAUGGACUCGCGGCUUAUCAGCUUGUUGGUGGGGUAGUGGCUUACCAAGGCUUUGACGGGUAGCCGGCCUGAGAGGGUGACCGGCCACAUUGGGCCUGAGAUACGGCCCAGACUCCUACGGGAGGCAGCAGUGGGGAAUAUUGCACAAUGGGCGGAAGCCUGAUGCAGCAACGCCGCGUGCGGGAUGACGGCCUUCGGGUUGUAAACCGCUUUCGCAUGUGACGAAGAGUGAGUGACGGUAAUGGGUAAAGAAGCACCGGCUAACUACGUG
This 468-nucleotide ribosomal RNA is filed under the name uncultured bacterium. RNAcentral describes it as "partial 16S ribosomal RNA". It matches the Rfam family "Bacterial small subunit ribosomal RNA", at positions 28 to 507 of the family's 1533-position model. The record is from RNAcentral.